RNAcentral lists this transfer RNA (65 nucleotides) under Ascarosepion mestus. RNAcentral's name for it is "tRNA-Trp". The record is from RNAcentral. Lineage: Eukaryota; Metazoa; Mollusca; Cephalopoda; Sepiida; Sepiidae.
AAGAUUUUAAGUUAAUUAAACUAAAGAUUUUCAAAAUCUUAAAUAAAUAAAUUAUUUAAAUCUUG